This 615-nucleotide ribosomal RNA is filed under the name Triticum aestivum (bread wheat). Its description in RNAcentral is "partial small subunit ribosomal RNA". The record is from RNAcentral. Lineage: Eukaryota; Viridiplantae; Streptophyta; Magnoliopsida; Poales; Poaceae.
AUGGAUAGGCCAAGUACUUCUACCAACCCACUCUUCCUCGAGCAAGACAGCGAUCCGAACAACUACGUCACCAAGCUACACCUCUUUGGUACACAACGAGCUUUGCAUGAAGAGCAACUAGACCGCAUCGACAAUCUCCCACCAACUUGCGACUCUCCGAGCAAUGCACAAGAGACUACUUCGACAACAAGCUCGACGAGCACAAGCACGAGAAUGACGCAAGAAUGGACGAGAUUCGUGCCUUGUUGGUCAACCGCUCUUCUACCACUUCGUCCUACGCAAGAAGGAGCCGCUCGAGUAGACACUCCGACGACACCGUCUCCGACUCAAGUACCCCGACAUCGAAUACUCUUCGUCGUGCCGCGCGUCAAGAUCGUCAAGCUAACCGCAAUCCUCUACACACACCGACUCUCAAGAGCACCGACGUCGUCAAAACCAAGCUACAUUUGCACAAGCACAAGAACGGCAAACGUCAACGCCAACAAGAACAAGAGGAGCGAGCGCGACAACACCAAGAUGCACAAGAUGCCAAGGCACAACGACAAGAACAACAACUCCGUGAAGCUCAAGCACUUGAGGCGCAACGUGCCUUUCGAUAUUCAAGUCACGCCGUAG